This 468-nucleotide ribosomal RNA is filed under the name uncultured bacterium. RNAcentral describes it as "partial 16S ribosomal RNA". It matches the Rfam family "Bacterial small subunit ribosomal RNA", at positions 28 to 507 of the family's 1533-position model. The record is from RNAcentral.
GACGAACGCUGGCGGCGUGCUUAACACAUGCAAGUCGAACGGAAAGGCCCUGCUUUUGUGGGGUGCUCGAGUGGCGAACGGGUGAGUAACACGUGAGUAACCUGCCCUUGACUUUGGGAUAACUUCAGGGAACUGGGGCUAAUACCGGAUAGGAGCUCCUGCUGCAUGGUGGGGGUUGGAAAGUUUCGGCGGUUGGGGAUGGACUCGCGGGUUAUCAGCUUGUUGGUGGAGUAGUGGCUUACCAAGGCUUUGACGGGUAGCCGGCCUGAGAGGGUGACCGGCCACAUUGGGACUGAGAUACGGCCCAGACUCCUACGGGAGGCAGCAGUGGGGAAUAUUGCACAAUGGGCGGAAGCCUGAUGCAGCAACGCCGCGUGCGGGAUGACGGCCUUCGGGUUGUAAACCGCUUUCGCCUGUGACGAAGCGUGAGUGACGGUAAUGGGUAAAGAAGCACCGGCUAACUACGUG